GUAGAAACAGUGUCCACUCGGACGACCAGAGCCACAGCCCAGAGAUCUCAGGUUGUUUCAGAAAGAUGUCACUGAGGGAUGCUGCGGAGGCUCCUGCUCAGGACUAACGGCCUGACAACGCGGAGGUGACAGGGACCGUGUGGCCAGCAGCAGAGAGGGGCCACAGGUGGGGAGGGGGCAGACAGUUCCUGACACCAUUCAGCCCUCAGUAGAGCCUGGACUCUUCCGUCCUCUCCUGAAGCACAUGAACCUCCUGCUGUUCCUCCGCACCGGAGUCAACGCCCUCUCCUUGUGGUGGUGAGUGUGGCACGUGAAGCUGGUGCCGGGGGGCCUGUGACCCCCCCAGUCCCAGAUGUGUUCCCAUUUUGUGGGCAGCUGGACUACUGGGGGUUCAUGGAGUGGUCUCGCCUGCCCGGCAGGUGUUUGGGGAUGCCAGAGGCCACUUCAGCUUCUCUGAAGGACUCUGGGUCACUAUCAGAAGGCUUGGUUUUGGGGGGCACCAGGGUGGCUCAGUCGGUUAAAGCAGCCGACUUUGGCUCCGGUCAUGAUCUCACGGUUGGUGGGUUUGAGCCCCGCAUCUGCUGUCAGUGCAGAGCCUGCUUUGGAUCCUUUGUCUCUCUCAGUCCCUCCCCUGCUCUCGCUCUCUCUCAAAAACAAAUAAUAUUAAAAAAAAAAAAAAAGGCUUGACUUUGGGAAACAACUUCAAAAGUCUUUUUUGCAGUCCUGACCCCAGAAGUUAGGGCAGUAGAGCGAAGGGGUAACCAUCUUCUCGCCUCCUACAGAAUCUGACACACGGGUACCUUUCUAGUUCUGUUCCUCGGGAAGCCGGAUGAAAAGGGAAUGUCAGCUGUCUCAAGGCAACGUUGCUCAUGGCAGGAACGGACCGUAACUGUAAAUUAUCUGGACCAGCCGCUUUGGGCCUCCUCAGUGCCGUGACUCAAUGGGGCACGUCCCUUGUAGGGACCCGGAAGCGAUGCCUGUGGAGUAGCUGUGCCGACGAACUGGGGAGUUGUUGCUCCCUCGGGGCGUGAUGCUAAGCCAAGGUGAACCCCACGGCUCCCCGAUGUGCCCCAUCCUCUUGCCACCUGGGCUGUCACCUGGAUGAUGGCGGGCC
RNAcentral lists this long non-coding RNA (1114 nucleotides) under Lynx pardinus (Iberian lynx). The record is from RNAcentral. Lineage: Eukaryota; Metazoa; Chordata; Mammalia; Carnivora; Felidae.